AAUAAGUUACACUGCCUUGCCCUAAAACUGUUCCAUGCGGUCACGUUCACAAAGGAUGAUAAUUACAAAGCACAAGCCUGGGCAAGUAUUGCACAUCUGCUGAGUAGUAGGUGCAUUAGAACUGUAUCUUCAAGCCAGGAGAUGCAAAAUCAUAAUUCAAAGGGGAAGAAAAAUCCCCAGAAAACUGAGCUUUCUCCAAGCAAUGUAUCACAACAGCAGUGUAAGUCUGUGAAGAGCCAGUUUAGCAAAGACCCAAAUGCAACUGCAACAAAGUCAAAUGUGAAGUCCAAGCCACUGAACCAGCAAAAUAGUAAAGAUAACAUACAGAUGAAAUUCCUAGAGGAAUUUUGUGAACAAGUUUACAGUAAUGUUCUCGGUUUAUCAGCUCAAGAACAUCUGCCUGAAGAGAACGGAGCUGGUUCAGGACAGUCCUCAGAGCAAGCCACAGACACAGACAGGAGUAAAAACAAACGAGAUAAACAAGAGGCUCAAUCAUCAGCUGUUCCAAAGAAGAAAAACCGCAGACAGCAUGGUCAUAUUAAGGUCCCCCCUGGCUUAAAAGAACUGGGGUUGGUCAAAGCUCCUUACUUUGAGAACAAGGAUGAGUUGUGCAAAUGUGUUUCUGGAUUCUUUGAGAAAGCUAGAAGUUAUGCCCCGUGCUACACAAAUAUCCUCAACAGAUAUGCUCAUUUUUUAUGGCAUAUUGGCAAAGAAGAUGAAGCUAUGGAAAUACACGAGGAGUCGAUUGAUAUUGAUAAGUGUGAGAGCAACUGGUUUGCCUUUAAAUCCAUGGGGGAAAAUCUGAGAAAGAAAUAUAAGGAUGAAUGGUACGAUAGAGUGCACCAAAAAAGUGAUAAAAACCCAAGGAUUGAAUUAGCCCUUAAAGCAAAAGAGAAACUUGAAAUUGCGGUUCAGCAUAAUCCUAAUCCCCAGGACUAUGCCUACUUGGCUGAAACUUGUCAUUUUUUGGGCAUAGACACAAAUAGACAAGUGACAGAUGAGAAAAUGCUCCUGAAAGCACUUUACUAUUUCAAGUAUGCCACAAAUAAUUUACAAGGAGGAAGGAUCCCAAUGUUGCAUCAUUUGCUAGGGCUGUGCUUGCUUGAUCUGGGGGAAAAAAGAAAUGCUCUGGAAUCCUUUAAGAAUGCUUUGCAAUGUCAGGAACCGAACAGCACUUUCACAAUAUCUUUCCGUUGCAUGAUGCUAGUACUUUUACAGAUUUGCAAGAGUGCAAAGACAAAAAGCGAUGAUAGGACUUACAUGUACCGCACUGCACUGCGAGAGCUGAGACACUGGUUGAUUGAAGGAUGUCAUCCAAACAGAUAUUUAGAGAAAGAAUUGCUCAAAGAAAUUUCAGAGUUGUGGGGUCCUAGAAAGGAACCAUUUGAGCCUGAUAUAUUGACUGAGUUAUGUGUUAAACUGAAGGAUGGAAAACAAGAUGAACAAAAUGUGUCUUCUUUGCUUGAAAAAGGACUUAAGUUGUGCAUUGACAAGUAUCCCAAGCAACCUGCCCCCACAGCAGGCUCUGAACCAGCAGAGAGAGGUGAUCUUCAUGUUUCCCAGCUUAGGACUUGUUUGGAGAAAAUACAGUUGGCCCCAACCCCCAAAGCAGCCGAGCCAGUCAGUAUGCCAGGGGCAGCUGUAGAUGUCCCAGAAGUAGUGAUGGGAUCAAGUCAAACAUCACAGGACGUACUGAAGGAAGCUACUCCAACCUCACAGUCCACCUAUAGAGGUGUUGAUGAAACCACCCUAGCUGUGUCACAGGCUCUACCCCAAGCUUUAGACCCUAACUCUGUGAAGACUUCCGUGGUCCAAGAAGAAGGCAGAUCAUUGGAAGAGAAAGGUGCAGGUAUGUUGCCAUCAGAGAUGCCGCCUAAUCUCUUGCCUCCAGACAGCAAUGAAGACGACACAUAUAGACCAGCUUCAGCUCAAUCUGAAUACACAUCUUCUUCAGUUCAAGUAGAGCCUCUCACUGACAUUGUAAGGACUGGCGACCCAGAGGCACAGGAUACAUUUCAACAGGAGAGAAGAGAAGCACGCAACGACACGCUCACUGCUGACAAACCUGCAAAAUCUGAAGAAAUACAUGAAAAAAAUGACAAAGAAAUUCAGUGUGAUAUUUCAACAGAGCCCCCAAGUGACAUGAUGGGCCAAGUGCCCUCAUCUCCCCCUCUGGCUUAUUGCUUCGAGUCCAAACGAGCCAAAAACUUGAAAGGCAUGGAGUAUGAUUUUUUUGUGAUGUAUUGUGACUCUGAUGCAGACUUUGUCAGUUUUCACUUACUAACAACCUUAGAGAAUUCAAAAGAGUUGAAAGGUUGCAUAAAAGACAGGGACUUCAUGCCUGGUCAGAUAGUGUUGAACUGUGUGACAAACGCAAUAAAAAAUAGCUCAAAAGUCAUCGCUGUUAUUUCACAUGCUUCAGUAAAGGAUUCUGAUUGGCUGUACGAGAUACACUUAGCAAUAAAGGAAUAUAACAAAAGAGGCAGUUUAGCUCUGCAGUCCUCCAAGCUACCCAGUUCUUAUGUUAUACCCAUCUUGUGUGAGAAUGAAGCAGGAGAAUUACCCAUAAUGCCAGAAGUCUUUGAAGUCUUCGCAGCUGCUAAAGUUCCUUUUGACAGAAAAGAUUGUAAUUGGGACAAAUUGGAAAAAGCUAUUCGAGAUGAUGAAUAAGUUUCUUUUUUAUUGUGGGAUUUAUUUAAUUGGAUAUUUGUUACAAGAUAUUGUAUAGUUAGAUUGACUUUAGAAAACAAUGAAUUUUACCCUUAUUUUUGUGAAUGAUUGCUUAAGUAGUCAGAUGAAAUUCUAAAAACGAUGCAUUUAACUUUCAUUUUCAGUUGUGAUAAAUAACUUGUAUAUAUCAGUAGUAUUCCUUGCUAAAUCAUUUUCCCUCUCCCCCGACCAGCCACCUUUAUAUGAUUCAUCCCAUCUUACAACACCAUCUUAUCAAGAAAUAUGUUAAUCAUCACAGGAAGCCAUUCUCAGGGCUUGUAAUUUAUUCCAAUCAUCAUCAUCAUCAUCAUCAUCAGACCAGUGCCAAUGCAUGGAGUUGGCCAUGGAACUUUAGCAAAUGCCAGAUAUUUAUUUACUCAUGAUGGUUCUCGACUCUUCUACUGUAACAUUGUACAUUUCUUGACUCCAUCUGGCUGAAAACGGUUCCCUUUCUUGGUAAUUUGUUCAAUUUUCUAAGUCUUCAGCAGAAAUAUUUAUGUAGGAGCUUAAUUUUGUAUAUUAAUGUUCAUUCUGCCAUAUAAAAUGUGUUCAUUAUUAAAUUAUUUUCAAUUUUUAGACAUCUCAUUCAAAUACACUGCAAAGAGCUGUGAUCAUUUGAAAAUUACUUAGUGGGAUAUUGAGACAUAAAUACAGACCACAUGUCCAAGGGAUGCAGUUUGAUACUGUAAUGGAAAUAAAUUUUUAUGUACAGACACAUCAGGAAUGAAAAGUAGGAAAUCUGUCUUAUUAGGUAAUUUACUGAAAGUUUUACAGGUUUUUUUUUUUUUUAAUUUAAUUUUUGCACAUAUUAGCAUUUUCAAGGUAUAACUUUGAACUUCCAUGGGCUUCAAAACCUUUGCCAGUCAUAUUUUCUGAUUAUUCAUGAUAUUUUUAUUUUAUUAUAAAAAAUUGAUGGUGAUUAUGCUGUUAAGCAUUAUAUAAUAUUGCACCAAAAUGGAAGAAAACCCUGCCCCUAUAGUGACCAUUAAAGAAAAAACAAUUCUUUACUCUUGUUAAACUUACAGGAAAGAAACACAGGACUAAAAUU
RNAcentral lists this unclassified non-coding RNA (3757 nucleotides) under Lingula anatina. RNAcentral's name for it is "uncharacterized LOC106175381, transcript variant X2". Lineage: Eukaryota; Metazoa; Brachiopoda; Lingulata; Lingulida; Lingulidae. The record is from RNAcentral.